Molecule: ribosomal RNA, 433 nt
Filed under: uncultured bacterium
Lineage: Bacteria
Description: partial 16S ribosomal RNA
Rfam family: Bacterial small subunit ribosomal RNA
Source: RNAcentral
AGCGAACGCUGGCGGCAGGCCUAACACAUGCAAGUCGAACGAACCUUUCGGGGUUAGUGGCGGACGGGUGAGUAACACGUGGGAACGUGCCUUUAGGUUCGGAAUAACUCAGGGAAACUUGUGCUAAUACCGAAUGUGCCCUUCGGGGGAAAGAUUUAUCGCCUUUAGAGCGGCCCGCGUCUGAUUAGCUAGUUGGUUGAGGUAAUGGCUCACCAAGGCGACGAUCAGUAGCUGGUCUGAGAGGAUGGUCAGCCACAUUGGGACUGAGACACGUCCCAAACUCCUGCGGGAGGCAGCAGUGGGGAAUCUUGCGCAAUGGGCGAAAGCCUGACGCAGCCAUGCCGCGUGAAUGAUGAAGGUCUUAGGAUUGUAAAAUUCUUUCACCGGGGACGAUAAUGACGGUACCCGGAGAAGAAGCCCCGGCUACCUUCGU